UUAAUUGAAGCCAAAUAAGAGGCAUAUCACUGUUAAUGAUAUCAUUGAAAUUAAUUUCCAAUUAAA
This 66-nucleotide transfer RNA is filed under the name Villa sp. RNAcentral's name for it is "tRNA-Asn". Lineage: Eukaryota; Metazoa; Arthropoda; Insecta; Diptera; Bombyliidae. The record is from RNAcentral.